UACGGAGGAUGCGAGCGUUAUCCGGAUUUAUUGGGUUUAAAGGGAGCGCAGACGGGGGAUUAAGUCAGUUGUGAAAGUUUGGGGCUCAACCUUAAAAUUGCAGUUGAUACUGGUCCUCUUGAGUGCAGUUGAGGCAGGCGGAAUUCGUGGUGUAGCGGUGAAAUGCUUAGAUAUCACGAAGAACCCCGAUUGCGAAGGCAGCUUGCUAAACUGUAACUGACGUUCAUGCUCGAAAGUGUGGGUAUCAAACAGG
RNAcentral lists this ribosomal RNA (253 nucleotides) under Phocaeicola coprocola DSM 17136. Its description in RNAcentral is "partial 16S ribosomal RNA". It matches the Rfam family "Bacterial small subunit ribosomal RNA", at positions 524 to 776 of the family's 1533-position model. Lineage: Bacteria; Pseudomonadati; Bacteroidota; Bacteroidia; Bacteroidales; Bacteroidaceae. The record is from RNAcentral.